UGUUGAAAAUUUUCAUCCAUUCGUACGAUUAAAAAUUGAAGGGCUAAUGGAAUAACCAAGCAGUAGCACAUGGCAUGCCAUGUGUACCUUAUGUUGAUGUGCAAGACCAAUUUUUAACCGUAGAAAUGAGUGAAAUUUUUAACA
Molecule: non-coding RNA, 144 nt
Organism: Gossypium raimondii (Peruvian cotton)
Lineage: Eukaryota; Viridiplantae; Streptophyta; Magnoliopsida; Malvales; Malvaceae
Source: Rfam